UACGUAGGGUCCGAGCGUUUGUCCGGAAUUACUGGGCGUAAAGAGCUCGUAGGUGGUUUGUCGCGUUGUUCGUGAAAAACUCACAGCUCAACUGUGGGCGUGCGGGCGAUACGGGCAGACUUGAGUACUGCAGGGGAGACUGGAAUUCCUGGUGUAGCGGUGGAAUGCGCAGAUAUCAGGAGGAACACCGGUGGCGAAGGCGGGUCUCUGGGCAGUAACUGACGCUGAGGAGCGAAAGCGUGGGGAGCGAACAGG
Molecule: ribosomal RNA, 255 nt
Filed under: uncultured bacterium
Lineage: Bacteria
Description: partial 16S ribosomal RNA
Rfam family: Bacterial small subunit ribosomal RNA
Source: RNAcentral